This 71-nucleotide transfer RNA is filed under the name Melecta chinensis. Its description in RNAcentral is "tRNA-Lys". Lineage: Eukaryota; Metazoa; Arthropoda; Insecta; Hymenoptera; Apidae. The record is from RNAcentral.
CAGUAAUUUAAAUUUAAUAUUAUAAACCUUUUAAGUUUAUAAAAUUAUUAUUAUUAUGUAAUAUUUGCUGA